RNAcentral lists this long non-coding RNA (222 nucleotides) under Mytilus galloprovincialis (Mediterranean mussel). The record is from RNAcentral. Lineage: Eukaryota; Metazoa; Mollusca; Bivalvia; Mytilida; Mytilidae.
CAGAGCUAAAUUCUAUAGACAUUUUUUAAUAUAUCAUCGUACAUCUUGCAUACGUUAUUCAAAUGGGGUUUCAUAGUUAAUUUUUCAUUUUACCAUUUUACAUUCGAAAAAAGUAGAAAUAAAUUUAAAUUUAAGAGUAAAACAAAAUUUAUAACGAUCAAGACUUUUUGUGGCAGAUGGUAGUCGCAUUACUAAGUAAUCAUGAUAAAACCUACUUUCGAC